AUUGAACGCUGGCGGCAGGCCUAACACAUGCAAGUCGAGCGGUAGAGAGGAGCUUGCUUCUCUUGAGAGCGGCGGACGGGUGAGUAAUGCCUAGGAAUCUGCCUAGUGGUGGGGGAUAACGUUCGGAAACGGACGCUAAUACCGCAUACGUCCUACGGGAGAAAGCGGGGGAUCUUCGGACCUUGCGCCAUUAGAUGAGCCUAGGUCGGAUUAGCUAGUUGGUGAGGUAAUGGCUCACCAAGGCGACGAUCCGUAACUGGUCUGAGAGGAUGAUCAGUCACACUGGAACUGAGACAUGGUCCAGACUCCUACGGGAGGCAGCAGUGGGGAAUAUUGGACAAUGGGCGAAAGCCUGAUCCAGCCAUGCCGCGUGUGUGAAGAAGGUCUUCGGAUUGUAAAGCACUUUAAGUUGGGAGGAAGGGUAGUAACCUAAUACGUUGCUACUUUGACGUUACCGACAGAAUAAGCACCGGCUAACUUCGUGCCAGCCGCCGCCGUAA
This 500-nucleotide ribosomal RNA is filed under the name uncultured bacterium. RNAcentral describes it as "partial 16S ribosomal RNA". It matches the Rfam family "Bacterial small subunit ribosomal RNA", at positions 30 to 523 of the family's 1533-position model. The record is from RNAcentral.